Long non-coding RNA from Bubalus bubalis (water buffalo), 415 nucleotides. RefSeq lists it as uncharacterized. The transcript has 3 exons. The record is from RefSeq and is a predicted model, not a curated record. Lineage: Eukaryota; Metazoa; Chordata; Mammalia; Artiodactyla; Bovidae.
AGCGCCUCCGGUUCGGUCAGGGCGACAAUUCAACAGGCCACGGCAAGGUUGAAAAGCAAAGCACUGCAGAAGAGAAGGUGCAGUGCUGCCACAACCACUGCCUGACCCAGAUGAGGAAGAUGUAAGAUCUGGAGUCAUCGAAAUUCUUCCUGAGAUAUGCAUCUAACAGCAGGCGGCCCCAUUCACCGGAAGCACAGAGUGUUCUCUGGUUUCCUCCACCCUGAGUCUCCCUAAGGCUCACUGUCAUGGGGUCCAGGACGUCUGGAAGCAAGUGUAAAAGCAGUGCUGGACGGCCGCUGUCCCCUCCACAUCUGGGGCUCCGGGACCUUUUUACAGAAAUGAGGGAGGAGAAAGCACAAAAGUACUACUGUACUUUUCAAGGUACUGUACUGUAAGAUUAAAAAUGUUUUCUUUA